GGAUCCCUUCGGGGUGACUUUGUCGCUGUCGAGUGGCGGACGGGUGAGUAAUGCAUAGGAAUUUGCCUUGGAGUGGGGGAUAGCCCGGAGAAAUCCGGAUUAAUACCGCAUGCGCUCUACGGAGCAAAGCGGGCCUCUGAUUUAAGCUCGCGCUUUGAGAUAAGCCUAUGUCGGAUUAGCUUGUUGGUAGGGUAAUGGCCUACCAAGGCGACGAUCCGUAGCUGGUUUGAGAGGAUGAUCAGCCACACUGGGACUGAGACACGGCCCAGACUCCUACGGGAGGCAGCAGUGGGGAAUAUUGGACAAUGGGCGCAAGCCUGAUCCAGCAAUGCCGCGUGUGUGAAGAAGGCCUGCGGGUUGUAAAGCACUUUUAUCGGGAAAGAAAAACCUGGGGUUAAUACCCCCGGGCCUUGACGGUACCCGAGGAAUAAGCACCGGCUAACUCAGUGCCAGCAGCCGCGGUAAUACUGAGGGUGCAAGCGUUAAUCGGAAUUACUGGGCGUAAAGCGAGUGUAGGCGGCUUCGUAAGUCGGAUGUGAAAGCCCCGGGCUUAACCUGGGAAUUGCAUUCGAUACUGCGCGGCUAGAGUUUGAUAGAGGGAAGUGGAAUUCCAGGUGUAGCGGUGAAAUGCGUAGAUAUCUGGGAGGAACACCAGUGGCGAAGGCGGCUUCCUGGGAUCAAAACUGACGCUGANGCUCGAAAGCGUGGGG
This 710-nucleotide ribosomal RNA is filed under the name uncultured Gammaproteobacteria bacterium. Its description in RNAcentral is "bacterial SSU rRNA". It matches the Rfam family "Bacterial small subunit ribosomal RNA", at positions 68 to 766 of the family's 1533-position model. The record is from RNAcentral. Lineage: Bacteria; Pseudomonadati; Pseudomonadota; Gammaproteobacteria.